RNAcentral lists this long non-coding RNA (1683 nucleotides) under Drosophila guanche. Lineage: Eukaryota; Metazoa; Arthropoda; Insecta; Diptera; Drosophilidae. The record is from RNAcentral.
GAAAGUCAGAGCGAUUCAGAUCGACAAUCAAUAUGUGCGCCUACAUUGUGUUAGUCCCGUUGCUGAUGUUUAUAAAGUCAAUAUAUACUGGCAAGCAGCAACGUCUAGGAAUAUACGGUAUACAUAUAACAAAAUGAGAAUAUUCACAGACCCUAGUGUGUGCGACAACACUUCAGACUGGUUCCAUUGCUGGGAGAGCAACGUCGGCGAGGGUACCUGCACGGAUACGUAACACUCAAGUGUGCAACGGGCUGGCGGACUGUCCGAAUGGCGAGGAUGAGUCGAUUUUAGAGUGCAAACACGAGCCGAAACUAUCGCAUUACUCGUAUUUCUACUGUGCCACUGGAGCGGCGAUCGAAAUGAAAUAGAAGUGUGACGGAGAAGUCGACUGCAGCGACGGAUCGGAUGAGUUGCGGACGAUGUGUCAGCCUGGAAAAGAAAUUAAUCGUUGAGGAAAUUGUAAAGGGUAGGGAUGAAGUCUUAAAGACAAAAACUGUGCUCUAAGUCGUUCUUCACCGUCAGAAAUUUGUCGUUCGAGUGCCGACCAGGAGAGUGUGUCCGCAAUGGCAGACUCAUAUACACUGAACGGAUCUGCAAUGGCAUCUACGACUGCAUCGAUGGUGCGGAUGAGCUGCCAAAUGUUUGCGAUAAGGAGACAGACACAAAGAAAUGCCAGGAGCCACGAGCACCGCUCUCCUUCACACUAGACACCAAAUAUCAUCGUGGCAUCAAUGGCACAAAAUAUGUUUUGCCUCUCGAAGUGGUGAAGGUGCAGUGUAUACCCACGAAAAGAUUAACUGCCACGAGCUCCGAGUGGAAUGUCUGCGGAGCGAAUGGUAAAUGGGCACAUCAUUGGCCAAAGUGUAAGAAAGCUAGAUAUUAAGCAUAAAGCAUCUUUGGCUGUCAAAAAUCUAAUAUUAAUUGUCUCCAUCAUCAUUCAGGUUAAAACCCCCAUAAAGGCACCCAAACUGAUGACUUUCGAUUAAUCAUUUGCCUUUGGUAUCCUUUUAUUUCCACAUUUUCCCUGCACAUGUGUCAUCUGUGGGAAAAGACAGUCAGACAUUCGCUCCAUUUAUGCAAAGUUCUUUUUUUGUGUGUCCGUGGUGUGGCUGCAGACAGGCAGACAUUUGUAUCUGCGUAUCUGUGUAUCUGUGUAUCUGUGACUAUAACAAGCAACGAAUCGGGCGAGACAUCAAAUUAAUUCACAAAAAUGUACUCUGUUCGGCAUGCAAGGACUCACAAUGCUGGAUUUCAGAGAAAUCCUCAGCAAUUUGUUCAACAAAUGUUGGACUCAAUCACUCAGGAGUAGGGGGACAGGACAAGUACAAGGACAAGGAGCAGGCAUUCCUCCCUUGUAUUCUACUCUGUUUCAUCCUGUAUCGUCUUGUUCUGUUUAGUACUGUAUCGUCUUGCUCUAUGCUGUUUUGUCAUGUCAACGCCAUGGCAUGGAAUCCACCACAAGGAUGCCCUGAAAUCAACUUUGCACUGAAUACAAAAAAAGUAGCAAUGUAAAGAACUUGUGUGCCUAGAGACGACGACGACGUCCCUGAGAAAAAGAAGGCGAAACAUUUCAAUAGUUUUCCAGUUGCAGAGAAAGUCUUCAACUAUUUGACAAAAAGUCAGACGUAAAAGUUGAAAUGAAACUUUCCUCCUCUUUGGUGGGAGGUAGGGUUUUCCCUGUGC